AACUUUGUGAAAUGACUUGAGAGGUGUAGGAUAAAUGGGAGCUGGAAACAUCGAAAGUGAAAUAACACUACUUUUAACGUUAUUUUACUUAUUCCGUGAAUCGGAGGCGGAGCGCUGUCCCUCUUUUUGGUCCCAAAGUUAAUUAAUGGAAUGCAUUCAUGCGUUUAUCUAUUU
Molecule: non-coding RNA, 174 nt
Filed under: Vigna angularis (adzuki bean)
Lineage: Eukaryota; Viridiplantae; Streptophyta; Magnoliopsida; Fabales; Fabaceae
Also listed under: 1 other name
Description: rRNA LSU_rRNA_eukarya
Rfam family: Eukaryotic large subunit ribosomal RNA
Source: Rfam by way of RNAcentral